This 253-nucleotide ribosomal RNA is filed under the name uncultured bacterium. RNAcentral's name for it is "partial 16S ribosomal RNA". It matches the Rfam family "Bacterial small subunit ribosomal RNA", at positions 524 to 776 of the family's 1533-position model. The record is from RNAcentral.
UACGUAGGCAGCAAGCGUUGUUCGGAGUUACUGGGCGUAAAGAGUGCGUAGGUGGUGCCCUAAGUCUGUUGUGAAAUCUCCCGGCUUAACUGGGAGGGUGCGGUGGAAACUGGGGUGCUUGAGUGUGGGAGAGGUAAGCGGAAUUCCUGGUGUAGCGGUGAAAUGCGUAGAGAUCAGGAAGAACACCGGUGGCGAAAGCGCUCUGCUAGGCCGCAACUGACACUGAGGGACGAAAGCUAGGGGAGCGAAUGGG